ACACCGCGGUGGCUCCGGCAGCCCCGGGCCCGCUGGUGACAGUGAUUGCAGCUGUGCUGUGCUGCAAUCACGGCCGCCGGGGCUGCCGUGGGGCGCCGCGGCUUUAUCCCGAAGGAAUUCGAUUUUUCUGCCACCUUUGGAACGUAACCGUGCCCCGUGCAAAGUCCUGUGUGUGGAGAAGGUGAAAGGAGAUCUCUCAUCCUGGCCACUUUCCCACACAGGGAGCUGUGACGUCCAGCAUGACCCUGAGAGGGUUUUAUCAACAUCCCAACCACAGCGCUUGGGGUCGGCUUCUCAGGAAACGGGGAAAUUCCAGGAAAAGGGAGUUCGGCGAAGCCCCCCGCGCGUCUCUCGGCGUGGAGAGCGCAGCUGGAACGUGAAGGGAGAAGGAAAUGAUGCAGCACAGAGAUACGGUGCCCGAAAAACCAGGCUGGCUUCGGGGAAGUGCCUGCCGCAGGCACGGUGCCCCCGCUGCCGGGGCGCCGCACCUGACCGCAAGAUGCCCGGCUCGAUGCAGCCGCUACCGGGAAAGGGAGUUCUCAGUAAGCAAAAGUGCACACUCAACACACCGAGGGUUCACCCACGGGCUCCUUCUCGGCAAGAGGUGCCCCAGCAGCGCUGCAGGGAUGGGUAAAGCCCGCUGCUGCCUGGCUCCGUGUGCUCAGGAUGCUCAGGAAUUUUUAGGAUGUUACGGGUGUUGCUCCAGCUCAGCCACAAACCCUACAUCAGCUUCCACAUGGAGAUUCACCCCCCUGGAUCUCCAGCAAGGAUAUUUGGGAUUGAUGGUGUUUUUCACAGCAAAGAUCCUCCCAACUCGCCCACCUGUGCCAGGAACGCUCUCCCCACGAAGCUGUGAGCUGCUGCCACAAGGAGCACGUCCUGCCUGGGUGCCCAGGGGACACUGAGGGUGCUGGGGGAGCUUUUCCCACUCAGGCAAGGGGGAAGGUGGCUCUCCAAGAACAAGAGUGGCGUGAGGAUGGCAGCGGUGGCAGUGGCCUGGUGAUGAUGGCAGCAGUGCAGUGAUGAGGGUGGUGGUCUGGCAGUGGUGGCACAGCAAUGACAACAGCAAUGACAGCAGUGUCACGGUGACAGUGGCAGAGUGAUGAUGACAGUGGCACGAUGACAACGGUGGCACAAUGAUGACGGCAAUGGCAGGGUGAUGAUAGCAUUGUCACGGUGAUGGUGGCAGUGGCUGGGCCAUCAGCCCAAGUUCAUGCAGAGCAAAUCCUUCGAGAGCAGCAGGAGCUGCCCCCGGCCCCUCCACGCCCCAGGGGUUUCCCCACACCGGCUCUCGCUUCCACUCUGAGUCACCCACGGGAGGUGGGGAAGUGCCUGAGCCCUUGUGCAAGGUCCCCAACGGAUACGGGCGAGAUUUGUCACUUCUUGUAAAUCACUGUGGCCCUUACGCAAGGGACAAACCUCAGCCAAGCUGCAGGGCCAGGCCUGGCCAUGCUGGAUGGACACAAAACCAUAUCCUGUGCCUGCAGCCCUGGGGGAAGCUGUGAAGCUUUCCAGGAGCGUGGGUACACACAGCUCUUUUCCAGGGAAUGCUGAGUGAACUGGGUGGGAAACAUCCCCUGGUGCCAGGGCAGGACAGGGGGAGCCAGCGGGGCCCUGCAGGGGUCCAAGGGUUCUGCUGGAGAGUCCAAAGUUCCUGCCGGAGCAGCCAUCGUCCUCAGGAGCUUGCACCAAGGGUAAUCCCAGCCUUCAUCCUCGGGGAUUUUGUUAGGCAGGAAAUCCCACAGGUGGUUUCCCUCGGGAGUUAAACCCAAGGCUCAUUCUUGAGGACUUCUGCACCACAGAUAAUCCCAAAAUGUGUCCUCAGGGUUUGCACCACGGCCAAUCCUGGUGUUCAUCCUCAGGGAUCUGCACCAUGGCUAACUCUGGUGUUCAUCCUCAGGGAUCUGCAGCUGACUAAUCCCUCUCUCCAGCAGCCAGUCCCAGUGCUCUGGGGGAGCUGAGAGCACAGUUAAUCCCGGUGCUCUUCCUCAGGUGUUUGCAUCACAGCUCAUCCCAAGGGGAGAGGUCCACUCUGGACAGCCCCUGCCAAUGCUGGUUUUUGGGACAGGGACUGGAAUCCCAUUGAUUUGGCCAUUCUGUGCCUGCUGCAGGGACCCCCUAGCUCAGGGUGACAUUCCCAAAGCACUCCCGCCUCUCUGCAGGUGCAGACUGCUCAUUUAGAAACCUCCUGACAGCAGCAAGCACCAUCCUGGGCUCUGUCCUGGCUUUGAGGAACUGGAGCCUGGAGGUUCCCCGACUAUCAAACAGGAACAUGGGAGGUGAUUCCCGCUGCUGUGCGAGCUCAACAUCCCCCACCCCUGAGGUUCGGGUCAUCACCUCCCAAAAACCCCUCUCUGCCCACCCCAAAGCCCCUCCAGCACCCGCCACACAAAGGAGCUCCCGGGACACGGUGUCUCUCUCGGAGCAUCCCGCGGGCCGGGGCAGGGGACAGAGCUGUCCCCGAGGGGCCCGUGCCCAGCGGUGACAAGGGACACCGUUGUGCCGGCGCCGCCACAAAGAUCCCUCUGUUCCCGCGGGGCGGCUGCGAGCGCCGGCGAACGGCGACGGGAGAAAGCACAGCCCCGAGCCCGCCGGCCCCUGAGCCCCGACCUCCCGCUGGAUUCGCCCGGGGCGCUGCAAAACAGAACCCCAAGAACCGCAGGGUGAGGCUGCGGGUGGGGUUUGGGGGGGCCAGGAAUCCCCACCCAUCCCUGGAGCUGGUGGCUCCUCUGUUCUUUGAUCAUCCUCCCUGCUUUGCAUGAAUUCGGUUCCAGCGUGGGCUGCUUUAAUAAUUUCCUGGAAUAAAUAACGAGCAUGGAAAGUAAACAA
Agelaius phoeniceus (red-winged blackbird) is the source of this 2829-nucleotide non-coding RNA. The record is from RefSeq and is a predicted model, not a curated record. NCBI's taxonomy places the organism in Eukaryota, Metazoa, Chordata, Aves, Passeriformes, Icteridae.